Molecule: ribosomal RNA, 400 nt
Filed under: uncultured bacterium
Lineage: Bacteria
Description: bacterial SSU rRNA
Rfam family: Bacterial small subunit ribosomal RNA
Source: RNAcentral
GGGGAAUCUUGCACAAUGGGGGAAACCCUGAUGCAGCGACGCCGCGUGAACGAUGAAGCCCUUCGGGGUGUAAAGUUCUUUCGGCAGGGACGAUAAUGACGGUACCUGCAGAAGCAGCUGCGGCUAACUACGUGCCAGCAGCCGCGGUAAUACGUAGGCAGCAAGCGUUGUUCGGAAUUACUGGGCGUAAAGAGUGCGUAGGCGGUUGGCUAAGUUUGGUGUGAAAUCUCCCGGCUCAACUGGGAGGGUGCGCCGAAAACUGGCUGGCUAGAGUGCGGGAGAGGAUAGUGGAAUUCCUGGUGUAGCGGUGAAAUGCGUAGAUAUCAGGAGGAACACCUGAGGUGUAGACGGCUAUCUGGACCGUAACUGACGCUGAGGCACGAAAGCGUGGGGAGCAAAC